CCGAGUUUACAACUCCCAAACCCCAAUGUGAACGUUACCAAACUGUUGCCUCGGCGGGAUUUUUCUGCCCCGGGCGCGUCGCAGCCCCGGACCAAGGCGCCCGCCGGAGGACCAAACCUUACAAAACUCUUUUUGUAUGUCCCUCUGGCGGACUCUUUUACAUUUCUGAGCUUUCUUCUCGGCGCUCCUAGCGAGCGUUUCGAAAAUGAAUCA
This 213-nucleotide unclassified non-coding RNA is filed under the name soil metagenome. RNAcentral's name for it is "partial internal transcribed spacer 1". The record is from RNAcentral.